UUGGAGGGCAAGUCUGGUGCCAGCAACCGCGGUAAUUCCAGCUCCAAUAGCGUAUAUUAAAGUUGUUGCAGUUAAAAAGCUCGUAGUUGAAUUUCGGGAUCAUCAGGUUGGUCGUGCCUCUGGUAUGUACUUUCCUCGAUGGUUCCUCCUUCUUGAAGAACCGUAAUGCCAUUAAUUUGGUGUUGCGGGGAAUCAGGACUGUUACUUUGAAGAAAUUAGAGUGUUUAAAGCAGGCAAUCGCUUGAAUACAUUAGCAUGGAAUAAUGAAAUAGGACGUUCGAUCCUAUUUUGUUGGUUUCUAGGAUUGACGUAAUGAUUAAUAGGGAUAGUUGGGGGCAUUAGUAUUCAAUUGUCAGAGGUGAAAUUCUUGGAUUUAUUGAAGACUAACUACUGCGAAAGCAUUUGCCAAGGAUGUUUUCAUUAAUCAAGAACGAAAGUUAGGGGAUCGAAGACGAUCAGAUACCGUCGUAGUCUUAACCAUAAACUAUGCCGACUAGGGAUCGGAUGAUGUUAAUUUUUUAAUGACUCAUUCGGCGCCUUACGGGAAA
This 548-nucleotide ribosomal RNA is filed under the name uncultured Glomeromycotina. Its description in RNAcentral is "SSU rRNA". It matches the Rfam family "Eukaryotic small subunit ribosomal RNA", at positions 548 to 1097 of the family's 1831-position model. Lineage: Eukaryota; Fungi; Glomeromycota. The record is from RNAcentral.